This 294-nucleotide ribosomal RNA is filed under the name Triticum aestivum (bread wheat). RNAcentral describes it as "partial small subunit ribosomal RNA". Lineage: Eukaryota; Viridiplantae; Streptophyta; Magnoliopsida; Poales; Poaceae. The record is from RNAcentral.
AUGGUCUCGGAACAGCUUCGUGCAUAUGAAUUGAAGCAAAGGAAGAAGAAGUUGAGGUUUGAAAAUGACUCAAAAGAGUAUGCGGAGAAGGAGAAGCAGAGGAGAGCUGCAGAUGGUGCCAACAAGGGUGCCAAAUUUGUCAAAGCCAAGCAGCCUACUUUGAAGAAGAAGAGACUGAGUUCUAUUGCUGAGGAAGGUGGUACUCCUCGGCGGAUUCCACGUGUUUCUUGCAUGAACAAGAAUCUUGGAAAGAGAAAUGCUGAAGCUGGUGCAAAGGAUGCUCAACGCAAGUGA